GCCCGCCUAGCUCAAUCGGUAGAGCGUCAGACUCUUACUUCCUAUUAGGUGGGUGGCAUCUCAUUGGGAUCUGAAGGCUGCGGGUUCGACCCCCGCGGUGGGCU
Non-coding RNA from Mycena galopus ATCC 62051, 104 nucleotides. Lineage: Eukaryota; Fungi; Basidiomycota; Agaricomycetes; Agaricales; Mycenaceae. The record is from the annotation of a GenBank genome assembly.